UGAACUUUCCAUUGUUUACAUAAAUAUGAGAGUGCCGGCAUUUGUGUAUGCUCAUUUGAUUUUAGCUUAAUCUUGCUGUCACUAAUGUGUUUGAUGUUGUGGAUAUGAUCAAGGCCUUGUUUCUUUUUGAGUGAUAACCACUUAGCCAAAUUUAACCUACCCUGUGAGAUAGUGAUCUUUUGUGUCCCCAUUUGAGCCUUAAAUUUUGAAAUUUGUUUGUUUUAUAAACCCUGAAACCGAAAGAAAAGAAAAACAACUACUCUACCCUUGUCUUAGGAUAGGAGAGCAAGUGUAUUGUUAUAAGGGUUAUAUGUAAGAUUCAAGUUGGGGAGAAGUAGGUUGAAAAAUAAAAAAAUAAAUUGGUUGAAAAAAGGUAGUGUUGUGGUGAUUGAAAAAGAAAAGAAAAUAUGUAAAAAAGAGUUACUUGACACAAUUGAAAGUCAAAAGGAAGUGAGAAAAGAAAACAAAAUUUUGUGAAAAGUGUCAAAACAAAAGAAAUCACCACAAAUGGAAAUAGGGGGAAAAGAAAGGGAAUGAAUGAAUCACUAAAUGAAUUGUGCAGAUUUUGUGCUCUCUUAUCCUUGAGGCUUUUUGAAUCCAUAGAAAAACAAUGAAUUUUUUUUGUAGCCCAGCCCCAUUACAAGCUUGAUAAAG
This 654-nucleotide long non-coding RNA is filed under the name Trifolium pratense (red clover). RNAcentral's name for it is "long non-coding RNA (TPRA_LNC009507)". Lineage: Eukaryota; Viridiplantae; Streptophyta; Magnoliopsida; Fabales; Fabaceae. The record is from RNAcentral.